Molecule: ribosomal RNA, 639 nt
Filed under: uncultured fungus
Lineage: Eukaryota; Fungi
Description: eukaryotic LSU rRNA
Rfam family: 5.8S ribosomal RNA (bases 277-430)
Source: RNAcentral
UUUAGAGGGAAGGUAAAAGUCGUAACAAGGUUUCCGUAGGUGAACCUGCGGAAGGAUCAUUAACCUUUCAAAUCAGGGUGCGGCGCGGCCCCCGAGGAGCGGAAACAAUCCUUGGGAGGUAUGCGGGGGCUUCGAGCCCCCCAUUUACGCACGCACGACUGCCAUCCUUACUUUACGAGCACCUUCUGUUCUCCCUCGGCGGGGCAACCUGCCGUUGGAACCGAAUAAACUCUUUUUGCAUCUAGCAUUACCUGUUCCGAAACAAACAAUCGUUACAACUUUCAACAAUGGAUCUCUUGGCUCUGGCAUCGAUGAAGAACGCAGCGAAAUGCGAUAAGUAGUGUGAAUUGCAGAAUUCAGUGAAUCAUCGAAUCUUUGAACGCACAUUGCGCCCCUCGGUAUUCCGUGGGGCAUGCCUGUUCGAGCGUCAUCUACACCCUCAAGCUCUGCUUGGUGUUGGGCGUCUGUCCCGCCUCCGCGCGUGGACUCGCCCCAAAUUCAUUGGCAGCGGUCCUUGCCUCCUCUCGCGCAGCACAUUGCGCUUCUCGAGGGGCUACGGCUCGCGUCCAACAAGCACAUUUACCGUCUUUGACCUCGGAUCAGGUAGGGAUACCCGCUGAACUUAAGCAUAUCAAUAAG